Long non-coding RNA from Hyla sarda, 597 nucleotides. RefSeq lists it as uncharacterized. The transcript has 5 exons. The record is from RefSeq and is a predicted model, not a curated record. NCBI's taxonomy places the organism in Eukaryota, Metazoa, Chordata, Amphibia, Anura, Hylidae.
GCCAUAUUUUCAUCAUUUCUUCUGUUAAUAUCGCCAUGUUUGCGUGAGCCGAAAUGAAGAAUAUUAGAAAAAUCUGACCCAACAACAGUCUGUCUGGUGCCAACAGCCGCGGUUAUUCCAGCUCCAAGUAGAAGUAGAAGAAAAAUACAAAGCUGGAUAAAAUUAUUUUGAAACCAACUAGUGGCAAAACAUUCAUCUCAGAGUUCCCUCACUCAGAUUCCGGGUUGAGCGCUUAUAUCGGAGAAAUUCUUACCAGCCUGCCGUUGCUGCAAGCACACCUCUGCUAUACUACGAACCGACCGAAGUCAAUCCUCGGACGGGACAAGCUCUAGGCUGCAUCCCAGCUACUUACCCUAUCUAUUGGGUUACAUGCUAUUUUAGAUGUUGUGCUCUAAGCAUAACAUCAUCAGUGUUUUAGGGCUAUAAAGAAGAACACCGACUGCUGCCGUUCAUGCCUUGAGCUCAACAAUCUGCACAAUGAAGAUCAUCAUAUUCUUUGUACUGGCUGGAUUCAGCCUCGCUCAGGAAGAAGAUCUCAAUUGUCCAGAAGAAAUAAUUCCUAAGGAAAAUGAAGAAUGCAUGACCGAAACUUUAGAG